This 489-nucleotide long non-coding RNA is filed under the name Brassica napus (rape). RNAcentral's name for it is "long non-coding RNA (BNAP_LNC004691)". The record is from RNAcentral. Lineage: Eukaryota; Viridiplantae; Streptophyta; Magnoliopsida; Brassicales; Brassicaceae.
CGGGUUAUCCGGUCGCUGAAGACUACACGUUUCUUGGUUUAAAAAAACCUUAAAACUGGUUAGAGGAGAAAGAGUUAGAGAGCCAUGAGUAGGAAAACCUCAUAAUACGGAAUAUUGCAUACUAGAAUACUACAACUUGAGUUAUGAUCAUAAGUCAUGUCAUUUUCAUUUACACGUUGGCUUGUCUUUAUUGAAAGUAAAAAAUAUGUAAUGUUACAAAAUAAACCGAAAGUUAAGGAGAUAUUGAAGAAAAUAAGGAAAACAGAAAGAAAGACGCUUUCGUUACUCUCUGAAAAGGAGGUGAUAUCUUCAUCUUUGUUUGUGACAUUUCUCCUUUUCCCUCUUCUCCAUCAGUGGUUAAUUAUUUGCACCUAAUUGAUUUCCUUUACUUUGUUCACAAGUCGCAAUUCUUUUCAUUUUUUUUUAUCAAGAAGCAAUUCUUUUCAUUUAUAAUUUGAUAGUUCUACGUAGAUAUCAUGACAUUUACGU